RNAcentral lists this ribosomal RNA (701 nucleotides) under uncultured bacterium. RNAcentral's name for it is "bacterial SSU rRNA". It matches the Rfam family "Bacterial small subunit ribosomal RNA", at positions 771 to 1501 of the family's 1533-position model. The record is from RNAcentral.
AACCGGAUUAGAUACCCGGGUAGUCCACGCCGUAAACGAUGGAUGCUAGCUGUGGGGGGUAUCGACCCCUUCCGUAGCGAAGCUAACGCGUUAAGCAUCCCGCCUGUGGAGUACGGCCGCAAGGCUAAAACAUAAAGGAAUUGACGGGGACCCGCACAAGCGGUGGAGCGUGUUCUUUAAUUCGAUGAUAAACGAAAAACCUUACCAGGGUUUGACAUCCCGAGAAUUUUGUCGAAAGACGAGAGUGCUUUAUUGAACUCGGUGACAGCUGUCGCAUGGCCGUCGUCAGCUCGUGUCGUGAGAUGUUUGGUUAAGUCCAUCAACGAGCGCAACCCUUAUAGUUAGUUGAAUUUUUCUAGCUAGACUGCCCCGGUAACGGGGAGGAAGGAGGGGAUGAUGUCAGGUCAGUAUUACGCUUACAUCCUGGGCUAGAAACGCGCUACAAUGGCCGGUACAACGGGCAGCCAAGCCGCAAGGCGGAGCAAAUCCCAACAAAGCCGGUCCCAGUUCGGAUUGGAGGCUGAAACUCGCCUCCAUGAAGUCGGAAUCGCUAGUAAUCGCAAAUCAGCAUGUUGCGGUGAAUACGUUCCCGGGUCUUGUACACACCGCCCGUCAAACCAUGAAAGUGACCAACACCCGAAGUCCGAUUCGUCGGCCUAAGGUGGGGGGCAUGAUUGGGGUUAAGUCGUAACAAGGUAACC